UACGUAGGUGGCAAGCGUUGUCCGGAAUUAUUGGGCGUAAAGCGCGCGCAGGCGGUCCUUUAAGUCUGAUGUGAAAGCCCUCGGCUCAACCGAGGAGGGUCAUUGGAAACUGGAGGACUUGAGUGCAGAAGAGGAAAGUGGAAUUCCAAGUGUAGCGGUGAAAUGCGUAGAGAUGUGGAGGAACACCAGUGGCGAAGGCGGCUCACUGGUCCGGUACUGACGCUGAGGCGCGAAAGCGUGGGGAGCAAACAGG
This 253-nucleotide ribosomal RNA is filed under the name uncultured bacterium. RNAcentral describes it as "partial 16S ribosomal RNA". It matches the Rfam family "Bacterial small subunit ribosomal RNA", at positions 524 to 776 of the family's 1533-position model. The record is from RNAcentral.